GUUGACCUCGGAUCAGGUAGGACUACCCGCUGAACUUAAGCAUAUCAAUAAGCGGAGGAAAAGAAACCAACAGGGAUUGCCCCAGUAACGGCGAGUGAAGCGGCAACAGCUCAGAUUUGAAAUCUGGCCCCAGGCCCGAGUUGUAAUUUGCAGAGGAUGCUUUUGGCGCGGUGCCUUCCGAGUUCCCUGGAACGGGACGCCAUAGAGGGUGAGAGCCCCGUACGGUUGGACACCAAGCCUUUGUAAAGCUCCUUCGACGAGUCGAGUAGUUUGGGAAUGCUGCUCUAAAUGGGAGGUACAUUUCUUCUAAAGCUAAAUAUUGGCCAGAGACCGAUAGCGCACAAGUAGAGUGAUCGAAAGAUGAAAAGCACUUUGAAAAGAGGGUUAAACAGCACGUGAAAUUGUUAAAAGGGAAGCGCUUGUGACCAGACUUGCGUCCGGUGAAUCACCCAGCUCUCGCGGCUGGGGCACUUCGCCGGCACAGGCCAGCAUCAGCUUGCCGUCGGGGACAAAAGCUUCAGGAACGUGGCUCCUCUCGGGGAGUGUUAUAGCCUGUUGCAUAAUACCCUUCGGCGGGCUGAGGUACGCGCUCCGCAAGGAUGCUGGCGUAAUGGUCAUCAGCGAC
This 625-nucleotide ribosomal RNA is filed under the name Colletotrichum godetiae. Its description in RNAcentral is "eukaryotic LSU rRNA". It matches the Rfam family "Eukaryotic large subunit ribosomal RNA", at positions 1 to 648 of the family's 3401-position model. Lineage: Eukaryota; Fungi; Ascomycota; Sordariomycetes; Glomerellales; Glomerellaceae. The record is from RNAcentral.